AAUCUGUGAGGCAGGAAGCCAGCUAGUAGGACUUUCACUUUGUUGGGAGUUCCUAUUUCCUUUUUUUCCUCUUUGCCCAAUAAAUUCAAUUUUUCUCACCCUUCAAAGUGCCUGUGAGCCUAAUCUCUCCUGGCUAUGUGACAAGGACCCCGUUUUUAGCUGAACUAAGGAGAAAGUCCUACAACAUAACUAGAUGAGGUUACGGCAGGCACUAAAUCUGCCCCGAGUGCUUGACUCAGCCUCACUUGAUCCGCUGCAACAGCCUCCCCUCUGGACUGAGAUGGAAGUGGGACAGCUGGAUGACCAUGACAUUGGACCUCCAGUAGUGCUCGUGAAGCGAUGCAUCUUGGAAAGGAGGAUCUGCCUGCGUUCCUGACAUCACCCUUGGGAUUUCUCCUCUGCUCUCCAGGCCUCUGGCUCUCCCUGCUGGUUCUGUGCUGGGUCACCUGCCACUGCUCAGCCUGCAUGCCCUGCAGAAGUUGGCUGGAGCCAGCUGGUGGUGACUUGCCAGAGACUCUGGUUAAAUAGGAAUUUUGCAAGCUGGUUGUUAAACCAUUGGUAGCUUGAAAUCAGCCUUGGUGGGAGUAUUUAUAACCCAGAAAUUGGCAAAUACUACAAAUCAAGUCUUGCCUCCAGCAGCUUACCAGUAGUCCACAGCUUACCUGCUCCUCUUAGUACCAAUGAAAACACCUACAUCACCUCGUUUUAAUAGCGACAAACUUGAGAAUUUUUGAUACAAAUAUUUACUAGGAAAAAAAGAAAAGAAA
RNAcentral lists this long non-coding RNA (767 nucleotides) under Homo sapiens (human). RNAcentral's name for it is "non-protein coding lnc-SLC4A3-2:9". Lineage: Eukaryota; Metazoa; Chordata; Mammalia; Primates; Hominidae. The record is from RNAcentral.